RNAcentral lists this ribosomal RNA (345 nucleotides) under Faecalicatena contorta. RNAcentral's name for it is "bacterial SSU rRNA". It matches the Rfam family "Bacterial small subunit ribosomal RNA", at positions 1 to 328 of the family's 1533-position model. The record is from RNAcentral. Lineage: Bacteria; Bacillati; Bacillota; Clostridia; Lachnospirales; Lachnospiraceae.
UUACGAGAGUUUGAUCCUGGCUCAGGAUGAACGCUGGCGGCGUGCUUAACACAUGCAAGUCGAGCGAAGCACUUUAGUUGGAUUUCUUCGGAAUGACGGCUUUGGUGACUGAGCGGCGGACGGGUGAGUAACGCGUGGGCAACCUGCCUCACACAGGGGGAUAACAGUUAGAAAUGACUGCUAAUACCGCAUAAGACCACGGCACCGCAUGGUGCAGAGGUAAAAACUCCGGUGGUGUGAGAUGGGCCCGCGUCUGAUUAGGUAGUUGGUGCGGUAACGGCGCACCAAGCCGACGAUCAGUAGCCGACCUGAGAGGGCGACCGGCCACAUUGGGACUGAGACACG